GAGUUUGAUCCUGGCUCAGGAUGAACGCUGGCGGCGUGCUUAACACAUGCAAGUCGAACGAAGCGCUUGAAUGGAAUUCUUCGGAAGGAAGCUCAAGUGACUGAGUGGCGGACGGGUGAGUAACGCGUGGGUAACCUGCCUCAUACAGGGGGAUAACAGUUAGAAAUGACUGCUAAUACCGCAUAAGCACACGUGAUCGCAUGAUCGAGUGUGAAAAACUCCGGUGGUAUGAGAUGGACCCGCGUCUGAUUAGCUGGUUGGUGGGGUAACGGCCCACCAAGGCGACGAUCAGUAGCCGGCCUGAGAGGGUGAACGGCCACAUUGGGACUGAGACACGGCCCAGACUCCUACGGGAGGCAGCAGUGGGGAAUAUUGCACAAUGGGGGAAACCCUGAUGCAGCGACGCCGCGUGAAGGAAGAAGUAUCUCGGUAUGUAAACUUCUAUCAGCAGGGAAGAUAGUGACGGUACCUGACUAAGAAGCCCCGGCUAACUACGUGCCAGCCGCCGCGGUAAUAC
This 517-nucleotide ribosomal RNA is filed under the name uncultured bacterium. Its description in RNAcentral is "bacterial SSU rRNA". It matches the Rfam family "Bacterial small subunit ribosomal RNA", at positions 9 to 526 of the family's 1533-position model. The record is from RNAcentral.